GAUGAACGCUGGCGGCGUGCCUAAUACAUGCAAGUCGAGCGGACGGACUAGAAGCUUGCUGCUCGGAUGUUAGCGGCGGACGGGUGAGUAACACAUGCAUCACCUACCUAUAGGACUGGGAUAACUUCGGGAAACCGUAGCUAAUUCCGGAUAAUAUUGUGAACCGCAAGUUUCAAAAGUGCAAGCCGGUCUUGCUGGCCCUUAUAGAGGGUACCGCGCUGCAUUAGCUAGUGCUGAAGGUAACGGAUUACUAAGGCAACGAUGAGUAGCCGACCUGAGAGGGUGAUGGGCCACCCUGGACCUGAGACGAGGCCCAGACCACUACGGGAGGGAGCAGAAGGGAAUCUUCCGCAAUGGGAGAAAGGCUGACGGAAACAAGCCGCGUGAGGGAUGAAGGUCUUCGGCUAGUAAAACUCUGUUAUUAGGGAAGAACAUAUGUGUAAGUAACUGUGCACAUCUUGACGGUACCUAAUCAGAAAGCCACGGCUAACUACGUG
RNAcentral lists this ribosomal RNA (497 nucleotides) under uncultured bacterium. RNAcentral's name for it is "partial 16S ribosomal RNA". It matches the Rfam family "Bacterial small subunit ribosomal RNA", at positions 28 to 507 of the family's 1533-position model. The record is from RNAcentral.